GCACAGUAAUCGGAUCAUAGCUGUUGAAAACAACACAUUUCCUGAACAACUCAGAACACUAAAUAUGCAGAACAAUGAUUUUAGAUUCAUACAUGAGCAUCAGUUCUCAUACUUGUCUGAACUGAGCCAAUUGAUUUUAAGCAACAAUGCCAUAGACUACAUUCCAGAUGAUGCCUUUAUCAAUGCUACAAGCCUAACAUAUCUACAUCUCUCAAGCAACAAAAUAACACAGAUUAAGAAAAUACACUUUGUGAAUUGCCCGUUGACAUCU
Long non-coding RNA from Mytilus californianus (California mussel), 271 nucleotides. RefSeq lists it as uncharacterized. The record is from RefSeq and is a predicted model, not a curated record. The transcript is spliced from 3 exons. NCBI's taxonomy places the organism in Eukaryota, Metazoa, Mollusca, Bivalvia, Mytilida, Mytilidae.